CAUUUUGGUCCUUGACGCACUAUUGUUUAUUACCAAAAUUACACAUGCAAGCCUCCGCACGCCAGUGAGAAGCCCAAAAGACUCUAAUAGAAUCAAGGAGAAGGCAUCAGGCACGCCACGCGCAGCCAACUACGCCACGCAAAUUGCCACACCCACAAGGGCUCCAGCAGUGAAUAACAUUAAGAUUAUAAGUGAAAACUUGACUUAGUCAUGGUAAGAUAUGGCCGGUCAAUCUCGUGCCAGCCACCGCGGUUAUACGAGAGGCCAAAAACAAAAGCACAUGGCGUAAAGAGUGAUCAAAGUGAAACCAACAUAUUAAGAAGGAACCAAUUCUAAGCAGUGAAACUCAUAAGAAACAAGAACCCCACCAAUCCUUAACAAAAAGAUAGCUUUAAAUCACGAAAGUUAAGAUACAAACUGGGAUUAGAUACCCCAUUAUGCCUAACCCUAAACUUUAACAGCCAAUAAACAUUAAACUGUUCGCCAGGGAACUACAAGCAAAAGCUAGAAACCCAAAGGACUUGGCGGUGCACCACACCAUACUAGAGGAGCCUGUCCCAUAAUCGAUAUUCCACGAUAAACCUCACCACCUUUUGAUAGUUCAGCCUAUAUACCGCCGUCGCCAGCCUACCACAUGAGAGCCAAGCAGUGGGCACAAUAGCACACGCAAAAACGCCAGGUCAAGGUGUAGUUAAUAAGGUGGCGAAGAUGGGCUACAUUUCCAAACUACGAUAGCACGAAAGGCCUACUGAAAGACAGACCAGAAGGUGGAUUUAGCAGUAACAUAGCCAAGACUAGCUAUUUGAAGAGUGCUCUGGAGCACGCACACACCGCCCGUCACCCUCCUCAACGCACCUACUCUUUCAACCUAUAUAGCUAACGCGAUAAGAUGAGGCA
This 897-nucleotide non-coding RNA is filed under the name Lepidophyma occulor. Its description in RNAcentral is "partial 12S ribosomal RNA". It matches the Rfam family "Bacterial small subunit ribosomal RNA". The record is from RNAcentral. Lineage: Eukaryota; Metazoa; Chordata; Lepidosauria; Squamata; Xantusiidae.